RNAcentral lists this non-coding RNA (131 nucleotides) under unclassified sequences. RNAcentral's name for it is "EFASI RNA". It matches the Rfam family "EFASI RNA". The record is from Rfam by way of RNAcentral.
GUUGACCGAUACCGACGGCUGGUCACCGCCAGUGGGAUUUCCUGUUUUUUAAUAACAGGCGGCUGUACUGAGUACAUCACCAAACCCCAACACCUCAACACCGUUUCGCUCUGGUGCAUAGGUAUCGUCAA